This 490-nucleotide ribosomal RNA is filed under the name uncultured bacterium. Its description in RNAcentral is "partial 16S ribosomal RNA". It matches the Rfam family "Bacterial small subunit ribosomal RNA", at positions 29 to 507 of the family's 1533-position model. The record is from RNAcentral.
AUUGAACGCUGGCGGCAUGCUUUACACAUGCAAGUCGAACGGCAGCACGAGCUAGCGUGCUGGGGCGAGGGGGAGAGGCGAGCGGGAUAGAAAUACAUGGGCACGGGCGUUGUAGAGGGGGAUGACUAGGCGGAAGAUAUGCCACAACCGCACUGGACGUGAGGGCGAGGGAGGGGGGCCGCACGGGCUCAUGGUACAGGCGCUGCCGAUGUCUGAUUAGCUAGUUGGUGAGGUAAAGGCACACCAAGGCGACGAUCAGUAGCUGGUCUGAGAGGACGAUCAGCCACACUGGGACUGAGACACGGCCCAGACUCCUACGGGAGGCAGCAGUGGGGAAUUUUGGACAAUGGGCGAAAGCCUGAUCCAGCAAUGCCGCGUGUGUGAAGAAGGCCUUCGGGUUGUAAAGCACUUUUGUCCGGAAAGAAAAGGAUCUGGUUAAUACCUGGGGUCGAUGACGGUACCGGAAGAAUAAGCACCGGCUAACUACGUG